Molecule: ribosomal RNA, 310 nt
Filed under: uncultured bacterium
Lineage: Bacteria
Description: bacterial SSU rRNA
Rfam family: Bacterial small subunit ribosomal RNA
Source: RNAcentral
GAUGAACGCUGGCGGCACGCUUAACACAUGCAAGUCGAACGAGGUCCAUGGAGCUUGCUCCGGAAGACCUAGUGGCGAACGGGUGCGUAACACGUGAGAAAUCUGCCCCGAACUCUGGGAUAACAGUUGGAAACGACUGCUAAUACCGGAUGCCUUCACAUGACCGCAUGGUCGAGUGAAGAAAGACUUAUCGGUUUGGGAGGAUCUCGCGGCCUAUCAGCUUGUUGGAGAGGUAACGGCUCACCAAGGCAUCGACGGGUAGCUGGUCUGAGAGGAUGAUCAGCCACACUGGAACUGAGACACGGUCCAG